AUAGGUAUUUUAUUGUUUACAUAUGUCGAAAAACUGGAUGCGAAAUGAAAUCUUUAGCAUAUAGACUGUUCACGGUGAACGCUUAAGACGCAAAGACGUGGCGUCGUCAAGCGUAAUGUUUGACAUUCCGCUAGAUGCUGCUGCAUUACGCCUUCUCGAAUCUAACGAUUACCGAUGUCGAACUUUUUAUUCAAUAUGUGCAUGGUUGAAUCUGAGAACCUACAACUGUUGUAUAGAUAUCGUAAUGAAUUAACAAUGACACAAAAUAUGUAAAAGAUGUUAAUAGCGGCAUCUGAAUUAAAACGAAAUAUUUUAAAUGUCAAUAUUGUACAUUUAUAUUCAUGAAUAUCUAUUAUAGUAGCUUCAGAUUUUCAUAUCACAGAAAGUUCUUAUGCAAAUAAACAAGCAUCUUCUAUAGUUUGUCUGUAAACAUGUUUCAGGUGCCGAUGAUAAGUCCUUUGAUAAAACAUCGCUUUGGGCUGAAUGUAUUAUGUUGAAGAGUAUUGCAAUUGCGGAUAACUUAGUACAGAGAAAGGUUCUACCAUAUAACAAAGAACUCCACACAGCCUACCAUACGUUCGGGAGACGAUCAGAAACAUUUUCUAAAAUUUGUGGUAUGAUUUGUAAGGAAACCAUGGCCACAGCAAAAGGUAUAGUUGAUGUCUGGGUGUCUUAUUGUAUAGAGGAUUGUCUUUCAGAUGGCAGACCUUCUAUUAUUUUUGUUGUGAUUGCGAAAGAUACUUCGAAAAACAUUCAUCUAACAGACUACAGAUAUCAUUUGAUUUCUCAAAACACAUAUAGCAGUGAAAGCGAAAUCGUACUUGCUAGGGAGUUAUCAGAUGAAACACAUGAUAUUUGCAGUAAAAGUGAAACUCUUGAAGAGUUACGACAUUGUAUUGCCCGCCAUGCUGAUGAUCUUCUUGAAAGGCACAGUAAUAUUAACGUGAUUUUGCCAAGUUUAAAGAAGUCGAAGGGAUAUUAUUCAGCCAAUCAUAGCAUUAUCGAUGAACCAUGCAUUGCACUCUAUGUUCCUGUGAAAGGUUGUAUACCAAUAAAUGAGGACCCAUUUCCACAAGAACUUGAUGGAUUUAAAGUAGAUGUUCUGGAAGGUAAAUUCGAAACAUAUAACAGAGGACCACAUGAGUUUCAUGAACACCUGAAGAUGGGACUGGCUAUCCAUGCAAAACUCCUUGAUAGUAAUAAACAUUUACUUGGUGGUACUCUUGGAGGAUUUGUCAACCAUCCCGUUUACAAGAUGUGUGGAAUCACUUGUGCUCACGUCGUUUCUUCCAGUGCAGAAAUGAACGCUGUCAAGCUGUGCGGUAUUAAAGAUGGUUUCAAUAAACCAGUAUUUCAGCCAGUGAAUCACAAUUCAAACCGUUCGGUAGAGUUGUAAUGGCUGUUUACAAGCAUGGUGAUGAAUCGUCAUCAGGGAUGGAAGCUGCUCUUUUUAACAUACAAGGAAGAUAUCCUGAAGAUGGCAGUUUUCCGAUGGCUUUCAAUGAUAUACAAGCAAGUUUUGAUGAAAACAGACCGCUUACUUACAAUUCGGGAGUUGUCUGUGAGGCAUCAGCCAUUAGCCCAAGAACUGAAGUGUAUAAAUACGGCAUGGCGAUUGGUAUUACUAGAGGGAGUUUUGCUUUACAAGGUGCAGUUGUUCGCAAAGAAAGAAUGGAAGGAAAUAGACAUAGUUUCGGAUAUAGUCUUAAAAAUCAGUUAGUUGUUCUCCAAAUAGGAUUGGAGCCUUUUGCAGAAGCCGGAAACUCGGGGGCUUUGGUACUGAUAGAAGGCGAUCAUCACGAUUCUGUUGCUAUCGGCAUUGUUGAAGGUGGCAUUAAAGGCAGAGUGUUUGUGACGCCUAUCUGUGAUAUUCUAAGAGCUUUCGGGUGUUCAGACAUAAAGAUGUACCAGUUCAACAACUUAAAAAAAGGCUCUCUUUCAGGUGACUCUGGGUUAGACAUUGAUGAUUCUGAAACGAUGGAUGUCAAUAAUUAGUAAGAUGUGACGAAACUACAGACAACAAAACCUGCCAUCAUACACAUACUGUUAGUGUCGUUAUUUAAUGUCUCUUGAGUAAACGUCUAAGAUAAACAGCAGGCACCACUGUAAACAUUUCCGUGAAAAGUUAUUAUAUAAUAAACAAAUUAUUAUGGCAGCAACUCUGAUAAUAUCUCUGGCAUGUAUUCUUUGAACCAUUCUAAAAUUAUCUAAUCUAGGUUUUGAUAUAGCCAAACUUCAUUGAGACACGAUGGAAGCUGAACUGGAGCUGAGAAAAAAAAGUAUAAUGAUGAUAUGUUUAGUUUACAAUAUAAGAUGUAAUUACAAGUAUCCUUAUAAAUGGGGCCUUCGUGGCCGAGUGGUUAAGGUCGCUAACUUAAAAUCACUUGCCCCGAGCUUAGCUCGGGCUAGGAAUUCUUAAUGCGGCUUGUGAAAUGUCGGUGGUUCUACCACGGUGCCCGCCCGUGAUGAAAUAAUGCAUCCAUAAAAGCUGUGAAGUCCAAUAUUUAUAGAAUAUUAGCUUUGUAUCGGGAAAUAUGCACGAGUUCUUCAGCGGAAAUAUUGUGCGACUUUAGGAGCGCAAUAUUCCUCCGCUGAAGAACGAGUGAAUAUUUCCCGAUGCAAAGAUAAUAACCUUUUUAUUACAUACGCAUCUACACGCAAUGAUAUAAUAUAAAUAUAUAUCAUAAAAUUGUUCAAUAGACUGAAAAGGAUUAACAAUACUGAACUAAAUAGAAAAAAUAGUGCAACAACACACACUAAAUUACGUCACGCACCCGAUAUGAAAUUCAGGCGUCAGUGUAUGGAAAAAUAUUGACGUUUCCGGUACCGGUGUAACUUAACGGGGAAUAGAAACGAGUAUGUAAUAAGACCUAUAAUAGUGCCGGUGUGACGUUAAACCCAACAAAAACAAAAUCCUCAUAUAAAUUGCCGAUCGAUAGUUUGUGUUAUAGUUCAAAUACAUAUUUUGCCGAGAUCAAGACAAUUUUGAAGAAAAAAAAAUAUAUAAACAUUUAUUUCUCAUGUCAUGUAAUAAAAAAGUUUGGAAAUCAGGAAAAUAGUUCUGACUGUAGACUUGACCGGCAAGUCAUUCAAUAAGUGUAUAUUUAUUGAAAAGGUUUCUGAUGAAAUAAAACUUUGCUUUCGUUUAAACAAUAUUUUAUUAAUCACAAUUCAUUUACAACAUGUACAUAUAUCAAAAAGGCAUACAGGAUUGAGUAGGAAGCUGAAAGCUUAUUUGAAACUCUCUCCUUAAAACUUUGCUUAGUGUAAUGGACUUUCAAAAUUGAAUUUCUUUGUGCCUAAUUUUCCCUUUUCUCUGUAAAGACAUAUUGUAAAGUAUCAUUAUUUAGCACUGUGUGCUUGUAAAAUAUCCAGUCUAUGCCGUAAAUAAUUAUAUAAUCAGAAAAUGUAAGGAAAUGAGGAGUAAAACUAACUAAACAUUUCUCGAAGCUUCUAUAUUGAUAGAAUAACAGUCACGUUGAAACUUCAAUUGCAUAAACUAGUUCAAUCUUGUGACAAUUUAUACAGUGUGUUUCUUUUAGUAGACUUGUGUUUUUCACUCACAUGGCUAGUAUCGCAUUAUACAUUUGACUGAUGUUUGACUGAUGUUUUUGGCGGUGUGCAGUUUAUUGCUUAUUAUUAUGUGCCGAUCGUUCACUUGUACAGAUAAUAUGUUUAUUUUAGCUUAAACUGUCUUUUCUUUAUUGACCGAUGUUUUGGUGGUGUGCAGUUUAUUGCUUACUAUAGAAUUAUUGUGUGCCGAACGUUCACAUGCACAGAUAAUAUGUUUAUUUUAUAUUAUACUGUCUUUUCUUUAUUGACUGAUGUUUUGGUGGUGUGCAGUUUAUUGCUUACUAUAGAAUUAUUGUGUGCCGAUCGUUCACUUGCACAGAUAAUAUGUUUAUUUUAUGUUAUACUGCACAGAUAAUAUGUUUAUUUUAUGUUAUACUGUCCUUUCUUUAUUGGCUGAUGUUUUGGUGGCGUGCAGGUUAUGGCUUACUAUAGAAUUAUUGUGUGUCGAACGUUCACUUGCACAGAUAAUAUGUUUAUUUUAUGUUAUACUGUCUUUUCUUUAUUGACUGAUGUUUUGGUGGUGUACAGUUUAUUGCUUACUAUAGAAUUAUUGUGUGCCGAACGUUCACUUGCACAGAUAAUAUGUUUAUUUUAUGUUAUACUGUCUUUUCUUUAUUGACUGAUGUUUUGGUGGUGUACAGUUUAUGGCUUACUAUAGAAUCAUUGUUUGCCGAACGUUCACUUGCAUAAAUAAUGUUUGUUAUGCCCCCAUUCAAAGAAGAAGGGGUAUAUUUUUUUUUUGCAGAUGUCAGUCGGUCGGUAUGUCGGUCGGUCCGUAGACCAAUCCGUUUCCGGAUGAUAACUGAAGAACGCUCGUGCCAAGGAUCAUGAAAGUUGAUACGGACGUUGGUCAUUACCAAGAAAUGACCCCUAUUGAUUUUGAGGUCAGUAGGUCAUAGAUCAAGGUCACAAUGACCCGGAACAGUUAUGCGGUUUCCGGAUGAUAACUCAAGAUCGCUUGGGCCUAGGAUCAUGAAUGUUGUUAGGAAGGUUGGUCAUGAUUAGCAGAUGACUCCCAUUUAUUUUAAAGUCAGUAUGUCAAAGGUCAAGGUCACAUUGACUCGGAACAAUUAAACGAUUUCCGGACAAAAUUUGAGAACGCUUGAGCCUAGGAUAACGAACCAUCAUAGGGAGGAUGGUCAUGACCAGCAAAUGUCCCCUAUCGAUUUUGAGGCCAGUAGGUCAAAGAUCAAGGUCACAUUGACUCAGAACAGUAGAACUUUUUUUUGCCAAAUAACUAGAGAUUUCUUUGGUCUAACGGUCUA
Mercenaria mercenaria is the source of this 4838-nucleotide RNA transcript. RefSeq lists it as uncharacterized. The transcript is spliced from 2 exons. NCBI's taxonomy places the organism in Eukaryota, Metazoa, Mollusca, Bivalvia, Venerida, Veneridae. The record is from RefSeq and is a predicted model, not a curated record.